Molecule: ribosomal RNA, 835 nt
Filed under: uncultured eukaryote
Lineage: Eukaryota
Description: bacterial SSU rRNA
Rfam family: Bacterial small subunit ribosomal RNA
Source: RNAcentral
AACGGAGGGAACAAGUGUUAUUCGUAUUGAUGGGUGUAAAAUGCGUGUAGAUGGUAUUUCUAGUUUUGCAUUAAAUUUUUAUUGUUUAAGUAAAAAGAUGUAAAUUAUACGGCUAUACUAGAGUAUUAUAAAACAACAGUAUCUUAAGUGUAAGAUGAUAUUUUAAAAUAUUUUUGAGACUAGCAAUAGGCGAAAGCGGUGUUAAGAAUUAAACUGACAUUGAAACGUUAAAGCUUAGUAGCAAAUAGGAUUAGAUACCCUAGUAGUCUAGGCUUCACCGAUGAAUGUUUAUUGUGUAUUUUGUAUGCAAUAAGUUAACGCGUAAAUAUUCUACCUGAGUACUACGGCCGCAAGGUGAAACUCAAAGAAAUUGGCGGAAAAUUGUACCAGCGGUGGAUAUGUGGUUUAAUUUGAGAAUACGCAAAAAACCUACCAAUCAAUGUAUGUUUACUUUUGUUGUAUACCCCGUGAUUUUUAAAGUUUAUUUGUAUUUUUGAAGAUUAAUACGCUUAUACAGGUGCUGCAUGGCUGUCUUAAGUCGUGUUGUCAAAUGUCAGAUUUAUUCUUUAACGGACGCAACCCAUACUAAAAUUUAUUGUGAUUUUAGAAUUUUUCUUUAACUAAAAAAUGAAAAGUGGUUACGUCAAGUCGAUAUGGCCUUAAUGGGUUGGGCUACACACGUAAUACAAAGGUGUAUAUAAUAGAUACGAUAAUGUGAAUUAAAGUAUAUCUUUAAAAUAUAUCUCAGUUCGAAUAUUCUCUGUAACUCGAGAAUAUGAAGGAGGAUCGCUAGUAAUCGCAAAUUAGAAUGGUGCGGUGAAUACACACUCGAUUU